Molecule: long non-coding RNA, 71 nt
Organism: Rhodamnia argentea
Lineage: Eukaryota; Viridiplantae; Streptophyta; Magnoliopsida; Myrtales; Myrtaceae
Exons: 3
Source: RefSeq, a predicted model, not a curated record
CAAACCACCGAGUGGUUGAGCCCCUUUAACGUCGAUACGGAUAGCCUCUCAAGCGAGUCCCUAGAGCUCAC